RNAcentral lists this ribosomal RNA (253 nucleotides) under uncultured bacterium. RNAcentral describes it as "partial 16S ribosomal RNA". It matches the Rfam family "Bacterial small subunit ribosomal RNA", at positions 524 to 776 of the family's 1533-position model. The record is from RNAcentral.
UCCGUAGGGGGCAAGCGUUGUCCGGAUUUAUUGGGCGUAAAGAGCGUGUAGGCGGCCAGACAGGUCAGCUGUGAAAACUCGAGGCUCAACCUCGAGACGUCGGUUGAAACCGUCUGGCUAGAGUCCGGAAGAGGAGAGUGGAAUUCCCGGUGUAGCGGUGAAAUGCGCAGAUAUCGGGAAGAACACCCGUGGCGAAGGCGGCUCUCUGGGACGGUACUGACGCUGAGACGCGAAAGCGUGGGGAGCGAACAGG